UUCAAUUCUGCGCUUUAUCGCGGGGUAGAGCAGCUUGGUAGCUCACAAGGCUCAUAACCUUGAGGUCACGGGUUCA
RNAcentral lists this transfer RNA (76 nucleotides) under Brachystegia kennedyi. RNAcentral describes it as "tRNA-Met". The stretch from base 19 to 76 matches the Rfam family "tRNA", at positions 1 to 55 of the family's 71-position model. Rfam says of the family: Transfer RNA (tRNA) molecules are approximately 80 nucleotides in length. Their secondary structure includes four short double-helical elements and three loops (D, anti-codon, and T loops). The record is from RNAcentral. Lineage: Eukaryota; Viridiplantae; Streptophyta; Magnoliopsida; Fabales; Fabaceae.